Molecule: unclassified non-coding RNA, 594 nt
Filed under: Aspergillus melleus
Lineage: Eukaryota; Fungi; Ascomycota; Eurotiomycetes; Eurotiales; Aspergillaceae
Description: sequence contains ITS1, 5.8S rRNA gene and ITS2
Source: RNAcentral
ACGAAAUGGCCUCCAUACAUGAUCCGAGGUCACCUGGAGAAAAGUUGGUUGCUUUUCAGCGUCGGCCAGCAGCCGGCCGGGCCUACAAGAGCGGUGUGACAAAGCCCCAUACGCUCGAGGACCGGACGCGGUGCCGCCGCUGCCUUUCGGGCCCGUCCCCCGGGGGGGACGACGACCCAACACACAAGCCGUGCUUGAGGGCAGCAAUGACGCUCGGACAGGCAUACCCCCCGGAAUACCAGGGGGUGCAAUGUGCGUUCAAAGACUCGAUGAUUCACUGAAUUCUGCAAUUCACAUUAAUUAUCGCAUUUCGCUGCGUUCUUCAUCGAUGCCGGAACCAAGAGAUCCAUUGUUGAAAGUUUUAACUGAUUGCGAUACAAUCGACUCAGACGACAAAACUUCAGACAGUGUUCACGUUGGUGUCUCCGGCGAGCGCUGUGCCCCCCUAAGAAAAAGGGGGCGGGCUCGCCGAAGCAACAAGGUACGGUAUACACGGGUGGGAGGUUGGCCUCUGAGGGACCCUCGUUUCGUAAUGAUUUUUUUUGUAUGUUUAAGGGGGGAAAAAAAGGGCCCCCCGUUUAAUUUUUUUUUUUU